This 641-nucleotide ribosomal RNA is filed under the name uncultured bacterium. Its description in RNAcentral is "bacterial SSU rRNA". It matches the Rfam family "Bacterial small subunit ribosomal RNA", at positions 47 to 689 of the family's 1533-position model. The record is from RNAcentral.
CCUAACACAUGCAAGUCGAACGGGAAGCGGUGCAUAUUGCUUCGGUGAUAAUGUGCCGUGGAGAGUGGCGAACGGGUGCGUAACACGUAGGUAACCUGCCCUGAAAGGGGGGAUAACCACGGGAAACUGUGGCUAAUACCGUAUAAUCUCGCCGUGGCGGUGGUUACGGUGAGGAAAGCUGAGGCGAUUUGGGAGGGGCCUGCGGUCGAUUAGCUGGUUGGUGGGGUAAAGGCCCACCAAGGCGAUGAUCGAUAGCUGUUCUGAGAGGAAGACCAGCCACACGGGAACUGAGACACGGUUCCGACUCCUACGGGGGGCAGCAGUGAGGAAUAUUGCGCAAUGGGGGGAACCCUGACGCAGCAACGCCGCGUGGAGGACGAAGGUUUUCGGAUUGUAAACUCCUUAACUGGGGGAAGAGAGAGGACGGUACCCCAGGACGAAGACACGGCUAACUAGGUGCCAGCAGCCGCGGUAAUACCUAGGUGUCGAGCGUUAUCCGGAAUUACUGGGCGUAAAGGGUGCGCAGGCGGUGUUACAAGUCCGGCGUGAAAGCUUCUGGCUUAACUGGGAGAGGACGUCGGAAACUGUAGUGCUAGAGUGAAUGAGAGGGGGGCGGAAAUCCCGGUGUAGUGGUGGAAUGC